UUUUUUUUUUAAAAAAGUCAAAAGAAAUUUUACCAAUAGGCCUGGGGUUAUUUAUUUAUUCAUCCGACAACAAUGUGUAAAUGAGAAUUAUCUUGUUCUAAUUUUUAAAAUUUUUUAUAUUGUAUUUUGUUGUUGUUAUUUAUUACAUGUAAAAAUGUGUCUUCUUACGAUAUUAUAAUAGAUCAUUAGACUGAAACUGCUCUACACAUUUUGUACCAGAAAAAAAAAGACA
Non-coding RNA from Biomphalaria pfeifferi, 232 nucleotides. Lineage: Eukaryota; Metazoa; Mollusca; Gastropoda; Planorbidae. The record is from the annotation of a GenBank genome assembly.